ACGAACGCUGGCGGCGUGCUUAACACAUGCAAGUCGUACGGUAAGGCCCUUUCGGGGGUACACGAGUGGCGAACGGGUGAGUAACACGUGAGUAACCUGCCCACAACUUUGGGAUAACGCUAGGAAACUGGUGCUAAUACUGGAUAUGUGCUCCUGCUGCAUGGUGGGGGUUGGAAAGCUCCGGCGGUUGUGGAUGGACUCGCGGCCUAUCAGCUUGUUGGUGGGGUAGUGGCCUACCAAGGCGGCGACGGGUAGCCGGCCUGAGAGGGUGACCGGCCACAGUGGGACUGAGAUACGGCCCAGACUCCUACGGGAGGCAGCAGUGGGGAAUAUUGCACAAUGGGCGCAAGCCUGAUGCAGCAACGCCGCGUGCGGGAUGACGGCCUUCGGGUUGUAAACCGCUUUCAGCAGGGACGAAGCUUUUUGUGACGGUACCUGCAGAAGAAGCACCGGCUAACUACGUG
Molecule: ribosomal RNA, 464 nt
Filed under: uncultured bacterium
Lineage: Bacteria
Description: partial 16S ribosomal RNA
Rfam family: Bacterial small subunit ribosomal RNA
Source: RNAcentral